Molecule: ribosomal RNA, 660 nt
Filed under: uncultured fungus
Lineage: Eukaryota; Fungi
Description: eukaryotic LSU rRNA
Rfam family: Eukaryotic large subunit ribosomal RNA
Source: RNAcentral
GCGGAGGAAAAGAAACCAAUAGGGAUUCCCAUAGUAAGGGCGACUGAAAUGGGAGAAGCUCAUCCCUGAAUCUCCCGUGUUAUACGCACGGGCGAGUUGUAGGGUUUAGGACGUGAUUGGGAAUCGUGGAAGCUUAAACAGUCUGAAAGGGCUGACCAAAGAGGGUGAUAGUCCCGUAGAGCAGAAGCGGUUUCAACUUGCGACCCUGUAGAGUCGCGUUGUUUGGGAGUACAGCGCUAAUUGGGAGGUAAAUGGCUUCCAAAGCUAAAUAUUAAUCAGAGACCGAUAGCGAACAAGUACCGUGAGGGAAAGAUGAAAAGAACUUUGAAAAGAGAGUUAAAAGCACGUGAAAUUGGUAUAGGGGAAGCGGUUGUUAAAGUUGCUUAUUAUGAUGCGUAUUCUAGUGUGAAGUGGUUACGGAAGUGUGGGUUUAGGGUUUUAUACUACGGCUCUAAUGAAAGUCUCCAUGAAUCGCCGUAUUUACGUGUUGUGUGCGACAGCACGGUUGUGUCGCGUAGGAGAUAGGUGUGGGUGGAAGGGUCUUGUACCUGGAAAGUCAUGCUCGGUACUGGCGCGGUGCAUCUAGGGAUAAAAACUUAUCAUUGGCGUGGCGCCCUGAAAGAAUUUCGAUGAUGGAAGGGUAAAAUGUCUUUGUGGUGC